Cavia porcellus (domestic guinea pig) is the source of this 4562-nucleotide long non-coding RNA. RefSeq lists it as uncharacterized. The transcript has 2 exons. The record is from RefSeq and is a predicted model, not a curated record. NCBI's taxonomy places the organism in Eukaryota, Metazoa, Chordata, Mammalia, Rodentia, Caviidae.
UCUCGCUGUGCAGUCCAGGCUGGCCUUGAGCUCACUGUGUAGCCCAGGCUGGUCUCGAACUUGCAAUGAUUCUCCUGCCUUAGCCUCCCAAGUGCUGUGAUGGCAGGUGUGCACCACCACGCCUGGUCUAUAAAGUUUUUACAAAUAAUCUGUUUCCCUUCUAGGUGUCAUCCCAGAAGAGUCAAAGCCAUGGUAUCAGAGUGGUCUGUGCCUGUGUUUACAGCAACACAGCUGAUAACAGCUAAAUCUUGGAAGCAGCCCAGACACCUGUCCACAGGUAAAUGGAUAAAUGGCCUUCACACGGUGGAGUACUAUGUGGCCAUAAAUAAGGGUAAACCUGGGUUUUGUAGGAAAACAGAUGCACUGUGAGACCAUAAUGUUAAAUGAAAUAGACCAACCAGGUGUGGUGACGCAUGCCUGUAACCCCAGCAGGAACCUCAGGAGUUCAAGACCUAAUGGAACUAGACAGUGAGACCAAGGCCAGCCUGCUCUCCAAAUGAGACCCUGUCUCAAAAAAAAAAAAAAAAAAAAAAAAAGGUUCAGGCUGGCCUCGGACUUACUGUGUAGCCCAGGUUGGCAUGAAACACAGUCCUCCUGCCUCAGCCUCAUUAGUGCUGGUUGACAGGCUUCACAAUAAACAUUUAAGGAGCUGGGUUGUGGCUCAGGGCUCCCAAAUCUCAAUCCUACAGAAACUAAAGUAUCUGUUGAUGGGGGGCACUGAUCUCUAACCAUGACAUCCCCGAGUUCCUGGGCUGAUAUUUGGGGUGACCCCGGGCUGCCAGGAUCUCUACCUCUGGGCCCGUUUGCAGGCCUCUCCCAGAGCAAAGGCAGAGGGGCGGCUGUUCCCCUCCUGGCCGCUAGGUGGCAUCGCCGGCCCUGGUUUUGCCUUGCCCAGCGCAGGGUCUCGCGUGCAGGAGACCAGGAUUUGGUGCUGGGCGGUCCACGUUUUUUUUUUUUUUUUUUUUGUCUUUUUCCUUUUUAUCGGUACCGGGGGUCGAACCCACGACUGCCUGCUUUCAAGGCAGGCGCUUAUGCCGCUGAGCUAAAUCCCCAGCCCCUUCAUGUUUAACAGAACUGUGUAGCUAACAGCUUUGCUGUUAUUGUUGUACUGAGGACUGAGCCCAGGGAGCAGAGAUCUCUGUUAUUUAGUUUUUAAUUUUUUUCCAAUCAACUUCAGAAAGAUUAAUUUGAGACAGGGUCUCAUCGAAUCGCUAAAUCAUGCCUUUCUUUAGGGCUUCAAAUGGCCACCCUCCUGCCUCAACCUUUCACUGUGCUGGGGUGACAGGCAGGGUGGCUCAGGUGCCAGAGCUGGAGCACGAUGAGUGGACAGUGGCCUUUGGCAGAGGCCAGGUCGGACACUGGGGAGCCAAGGUGGGGGAGAAGCUGGGGAGGUCACGGGAGCCACUGGCAACGCCCUCUCUCUGUGGCCUUCCGCUGUCCUGGGAGACACCGUGGGCUGCGGAGGCAGCGAGCAGUGAAGCCUCAGGCCACGGUAGCAAAAUACCAUGAACCAGGAAUUUCCACACAACUGCCCGCCGCCAUCCUAAUGUUCCGGAGGCUGAAGAGGCUGAGGCAGGAGGAUCCAGAUGCAUUUGAGACCAGCCUGGGUACAGAGUGAGCCCACGGCCAGCCUGAGUUGCAUAGGGAGACCCUGGCUCAGAAAACCAAGACAGAAAGAACCACACGACACCUGUCACCUCAGCACUCAGGAGGCUGAGCCAGGAAGGUCACCGUGAGUUGGAGGCCAGCCUGAGACCCUGCUUAAAAAAUUAAAAUUUUAAAAAGGGGGCUGGGCCCCAGUACCAAAAAGAAGUAGGGGGCUAGGGAUGGAGGGUCUCUGUAGCACACAUGAGGUGCUGGGUUCAGCACCCUGAGGGGGAGGGAGACAGAGUUAGGGAUAGAGAGAGAGAGAGAGAGAGAGGUAGAUAGAUAAACAGAUAGAUAGAUAGAUAGACAGAUGGAUAGGUCAGACAGUCAGACAGAGAGAUGGGGCUGCACCAGGCACCUGGCUGACCUCAGCCUCUGGAGAAGCUGGGUUCGAUUAUAAUUUCCAAACGGUGAAUGCCAGCAGCGUAAGGAGGAAGAGGGUGCUGAGCUGGACAAGUUUAAACAGCUCUAUGCCCGGGAAGAGGCUGGGUCUGCCCCCUGCCUGGUUUUAUGUCAUUGUUGUUGUUUUGUCUUUUUGAGACAGGGUCUCACUGUGCAGUCCAGGCUGGCCUUGGGCUCACUCUGUAGCCCAGGCUGGUCUCAAACUCACAAGGAUCCUCCUGCCUCAGCCUCCCGAGUGCUGGGAUAACAGGAGUGCGGCACCACGCCGGGCUCCCCCUGCCUGUUUUUAUGAAUAAAGAUUUAUCGGUACACGGCUCCACACGUGUGUGUACAGUGCCUUCCAGCCGGGACCACCUGGGCCAUAGGACCAAUUUUUUUUUUUCUUUUGAGGUGGUUUCGUUGUCAUGCAAGCUGACCUUGAACCCCAGAUGCUCCUGCUUCUUUACCCCCACCUUCCAGUGCAGGGAUCAGAGGUACUCACGGCUCAAAACUAAAACUUUAAAUAUCAAUUUGGACCUAGGCGGGGUAAUACAUACCUGUAACCCCAGCAUACAGGGAGGCUGAGGCAGGAGGGUUAUGAGUUCAAGUCCCACCUCCUGAAACCCUGUCUAGAAAGUAAACAGUGAAAAAGGCCUAGGAUGGACUUAGGUCACCUCCGGGUUCAAUCCCCAGUACCAGAACCAGCAAACACCAAAAACAGACGCUUUGGGGUCAGAGCUGAACCCAGUCUUUUUGCCCGUGUUAACCUUCUACAUACCUGCACCCUCAGUCCUGAAGGUGGUUGCAAUUUAAGGCCAAAAACUGCCAGGUGGGGUAGCUCCCACCUGUCAUCCUAGUAUUUGAGAGGCUGAGGCAGGAGUGUCUCUGGAAGUUUGUAGGCCUUUGGACCACAUAGUGAGAGCCUGUCUCAAAGGAAGGAAGGGAGGGAGGCCUGCUGGGAAUUAAGUACCAUGUCUAUCCUCGGGUCUCCAGUGCACCUAUGGUUUCUCUGACAGAAAAGCAAAUGCCCAGAGAGGUUGUCAUUUCCCGCGCAGAGCUGAGCCUGGGCCAGUGUCCUGGGCUGUGGCAGGGUCAAGCUGUGGGGGUAUCAGGGAGCCCCCGCCGUCCUCUUGUCCUCUUUCCCUGGACCGUGUGCAGCUCCUUGCAUGAGGCUUCUGGGGUGCUCAGAGCCCUGCCCAGGAAGAGCUCCCCUCCCAGGCCACCGUGAACCCUGACCCUUCCCUGCACCUGCCUCAGCCUCCUCCCUUCCUACUGAAGACUCAGUGUUGUGGCCUAGGAUGGUGGCGGAUGCCUCUGCGCCCACUACUUGGGAGGCUGAGGCAGGAGGAUCACAGAUUUGAGGCCACCCUGGGGAAUUUUGCAAGACCAUGUUUCAAAAUAGUAAUUCACCAAAAACAAAAAACAAAAUAAGACUUUGAGCCAAGUGUGGUGUGCACCUGUUAUCCCAGCACUCGGAGGAUCACUGGAGUUUGAGACCAGCUUGGGCUACAAAGUGAGCUCAAAGCCAGCCUGAACUGCAUAGUGAGACUGUCUCAAAAAAUCACAAAAAACAAACAACCCCCCCCCCAAAAAAACCAAAAUAAUAACUCACAAAAGGGCUGGGGAGCCUAGCUUUGUGGAGGGCACUUGCCUAGCAUAUAUGAGGUCCUGGAUUUCAUCCUUAGCAUUGCAAAAAAAUAGUACAGUUCUACGGUUUUUAAGAUUUAUUAUUGUUAUUAUUUGAUUCUUUUAGGACAGGAUCUCACUCUGUAGUACAGGCUGGCCUUGUACUCACUGUGUAGCUCAGACUGGCUGCUGACCUCUGGCUACCCUCCUGCCUCAGCCUCCGAGCACUGGGUGACACCAGCACACCUGGCUUGGUUGAGCUUUAGGCUCCAUUCACGGGAGCACUGAGGGAGCAGGCGGGAGGUGAGGCCUCCCACUGCUGCAGGCUGCAGGGGACCGCACCGUGGGGCCUCGCGGGCAGCUCUGCUCCGUGACCUCAGGGAUGGACCACUCUCGCCCACGCUGUUUCCCCCACCACGUUGUUUAAGGAAACCCUUGUGGCAAGUACCACAUUGGACAGGAGAUGCUAGGACGACCGGUCCUUGGGAGUGUUCCUUCCCGGGUACAGGCACCCUGAGCUGUUCUUGGGUUUUCUUCUUGGAGGUCGGUGUCCCCAGGCUCCACCUUUGCCUUAUUCAUAUUGAGACAGGGCCACGCAUAGUUGCUCAGCUGGGCCUCUGGUUUGUGAUCCCCCUGCCUCAGCCUCCUGAGCAGCUGAGAUGGCUGGCAUUGGACAGCAGGAAGCCGCAGCCCACCCCCUCUUCCCAGCAGAGCCGGUGAGCACGCGGCCUGGGCCUAACACCAGUCCAAUCCAGGGGCCACUGGGUUCAACCUUUUUUUAAUUUUUUUCCUUUUUUAAUGUCAUGCAAUAAUUCACAGUCCCAAGCCCACGGUUUUCAAACAAGGUAGGAAAAUAAAAUAAAGUAAAAGAAAACAAAAGAAAAAAAAAAGGGAAAAAUAAAGGAAAA